CCUGCGGAGGGAUCAUUACCGAGUUUACAACUCCCAAACCCCUGUGAACAUACCUUAAUGUUGCCUCGGCGGAUCAGCCCGCGCCCCGUAAAACGGGACGGCCCGCCAGAGGACCCAAACUCUAAUGUUUCUUAUUGUAACUUCUGAGUAAAACAAACAAAUAAAUCAAAACUUUCAACAACGGAUCUCUUGGUUCUGGCAUCGAUGAAGAACGCAGCAAAAUGCGAUAAGUAAUGUGAAUUGCAGAAUUCAGUGAAUCAUCGAAUCUUUGAACGCACAUUGCGCCCGCUGGUAUUCCGGCGGGCAUGCCUGUUCGAGCGUCAUUUCAACCCUCAAGCCCCCGGGUUUGGUGUUGGGGAUCGGCUCUGCCUUCUGGCGGCGCCGCCCCCGAAAUACAUUGGCGGUCUCGCUGCAGCCUCCAUUGCGUAGUAGCUAACACCUCGCAACUGGAACGCGGCGCGGCCAUGCCGUAAAACCCCAACUUCUGAAUGUUGACCUCGGAUCAGGUAGGAAUACCCGCUGAACUUAA
This 529-nucleotide ribosomal RNA is filed under the name Fusarium oxysporum. Its description in RNAcentral is "eukaryotic LSU rRNA". The stretch from base 170 to 323 matches the Rfam family "5.8S ribosomal RNA". Lineage: Eukaryota; Fungi; Ascomycota; Sordariomycetes; Hypocreales; Nectriaceae. The record is from RNAcentral.